GGAAAGAGCCCAAAUACUCUGGAGGCACCAGAUCCCAACUGAUCUUGGAAGCUAAGCAUUGUCAACCCUGGUUAGUACUUGGUUGGGAGUCUGUCAAUGACUACCUGGCACUGUUAGCU
RNAcentral lists this ribosomal RNA (119 nucleotides) under Anolis carolinensis (green anole). The record is from RNAcentral. Lineage: Eukaryota; Metazoa; Chordata; Lepidosauria; Squamata; Anolidae.